GGACCAAGGAGUCUAGCAUGUGCGCGAGUCAUUGGGAUUUUUUCUAAACCUAAAGGCGCAAUGAAAGUGAAGGUCCGCCUUGCGCGGACCGAGGGAGGAUGGACCGUUCCGAGGGACGGCCUCGCACUCCCGGGGCGUCUCGCUCUCAUCGCGAGAAGAGGCGCACCCAGAGCGUACACGCUGGGACCCGAAAGAUGGUGAACUAUGCCUGGUCAGGACGAAGUCAGGGGAAACCCUGAUGGAGGUCCGUAGCGAUUCUGACGUGCAAAUCGAUCGUCGGAACUGGGUAUAGGGGCGAAAGACUAAUCGAACCAUCUAGUAGCUGGUUCCCUCCGAAGUUUCCCUCAGGAUAGCUGGCGCUCGCUUCUCGCGAGUCUCAUUCGGUAAAGCGAAUGAUUAGAGGCAUUGGGGUCGAAACGGCCUCAACCUAUUCUCAAACUUUAAAUGGGUGAGAUCUCCGGCUUGCUUGAACUGUGAAGCCGCGAGAUAUCGGAUCAGAGUGCCAAGUGGGCCACUUUUGGUAAGCAGAACUGGCGCUGUGGGAUGAACCAAACGCAGAGUUAAAGCGCCUAAAUCGACGCUUAUGGGAUACCAUGAAAGGCGUUGGUAACUUAAGACAGCAGGACGGUGGCCAUGGAAGUCGGA
RNAcentral lists this ribosomal RNA (645 nucleotides) under Maladera sp. LW1201. Its description in RNAcentral is "eukaryotic LSU rRNA". It matches the Rfam family "Eukaryotic large subunit ribosomal RNA", at positions 663 to 1265 of the family's 3401-position model. Lineage: Eukaryota; Metazoa; Arthropoda; Insecta; Coleoptera; Scarabaeidae. The record is from RNAcentral.